RNAcentral lists this transfer RNA (73 nucleotides) under Caudoviricetes sp. Its description in RNAcentral is "tRNA-Lys". It matches the Rfam family "tRNA". Rfam says of the family: Transfer RNA (tRNA) molecules are approximately 80 nucleotides in length. Their secondary structure includes four short double-helical elements and three loops (D, anti-codon, and T loops). The record is from RNAcentral. Lineage: Duplodnaviria; Heunggongvirae; Uroviricota; Caudoviricetes.
UGGAUAUUAGCUCAGGUGGUAGAGCACUUGACUUUUAAUCAAGUUGUCCGGGGUUCGAAUCCCCGAUGUCUCA